This 484-nucleotide ribosomal RNA is filed under the name uncultured bacterium. Its description in RNAcentral is "partial 16S ribosomal RNA". It matches the Rfam family "Bacterial small subunit ribosomal RNA", at positions 29 to 507 of the family's 1533-position model. The record is from RNAcentral.
AGUGAACGCUGGCGGCAGGCCUAACACAUGCAAGUCGAGCGGCAGCAGAGUACUUGCUCCUGGAUUCAGCUGCCGACGGGUGAGUGAUGCCUAAGUAUCUCCCUAUCUGCUUGUGCUUACGUCCGGAAGCGGGCGCUCUUACGCCAUUAGUCCCGACGGCGUAAGGGGGGAAUCUUCGGACCUUCCGCCAUUGCACGAGUCGAGGUCGGAUUAGCUAGUUGGUGGGGUAAAGGCCUACCAAGGCGACGAUCCGUAACUGGUCUGAGAGGAUGAUCAGCCACACUGGAACUGAGACACGGUCCAGACUCCUACGGGAGGCAGCAGUGGGGAAUAUUGGACAAUGGGCGCAAGCCUGAUCCAGCCAUACCGCGUGUGUGAAGAAGGCCUUCGGAUUGUAAAGCACUUUUGGUGGGGAGGAAGAGCAGUAAGUUAAUACCUUGCUGUUUUGACGGUACCAACAGAAUAAGCACCGGCUAACUUCGUG